ACAGCUUUAGUUGUCUACAUGUUCUGCCUGCAAAACAGAGUGAAUCUGGUCCCUGAAUGACCCAUUCAGUGCUGAAAGAUGACCUUGCCGCAGUCUCAGAGCAGGGACCGAUGCCAUAUUAUUAUCCUAUUCGACGCUCUUAUGAGGAAACUCGCCCCGGACCGGCCGCAAAUGGCUUGCAGACUGGCACCAGUCCACUGACCACCACUUUGAGAAGCACUGCCCUAAUGCAUCUACCUUGCUAUUAGCCUUUUAGGAUAUCUGAAAAAUCCUCCGAGGGUUUGUGCUCUGCUCCCUUUAGAUCUGCUUCAGACUUCACUCUCAAGGCUUGGAAAGUCCCUGUCAGUGAAGAAGAGUUGGUAUGGCGGAAGAUUGGAAUAUUUGGCGUAAUACACAUCUGUCAGUCUAUCAUCACUUGAAGAAAGACUAUCAUUUAGGAG
Non-coding RNA from Chelonoidis abingdonii (Abingdon island giant tortoise), 440 nucleotides. Lineage: Eukaryota; Metazoa; Chordata; Testudines; Testudinidae. The record is from RefSeq and is a predicted model, not a curated record.